This is a long non-coding RNA of Hemicordylus capensis (graceful crag lizard), 554 nucleotides long. RefSeq lists it as uncharacterized. Lineage: Eukaryota; Metazoa; Chordata; Lepidosauria; Squamata; Cordylidae. The transcript has 3 exons. The record is from RefSeq and is a predicted model, not a curated record.
UAAAGGAUGGCCACAGUUCCACAAUAUCAGUGGUAGAAAGUUACACAGCUGUUGUUUGGUGGUGUGUUUGGAAUUUUAUUGUGAAACCCAUCGUUUAGUUUAUUUUUCUGCCUUUUGAAAUUUCUCCACUUUGAGACUUAAAAAAAGAAAGAAAGUAUGACAACUAAAGACAAAGAAGCAAAAGUGUGAACAACACCUGUUUAAGCCUUCAGCAGUCAAAGAUAAUAUAUUUAUGGAAAAAAACUCAGGGUGGUGCACAUAAGGUUUCUAAGUCAUCUGCCAGCUUGGAAAAUGGACCCAUACUGACCCUUGGUAUACCUGCCAAUCAGAGGAAAAGGUGUGAGGGAGCCACAAGAAUUAGAAAAAAGGUGUGAGGGAAAAGGUGUGAGGGACCUCAGUAGGAAAGCCCCCACGUCACUUAGGGCAGGGACAUCUUGCCUGCCUAAAGUGGCCAUUUCCAGGAGCAGGAAGUUGUAUUUCCCUAAAGUCAUCUGUGGCUUGUUCCCCAAGGAACAAGCUAGAGCAAGGGCAGCAACUGGAUUAUUUGGACCAAU